GUGGCUCGACGCCGGGCUUCGGCCUGGUUAUUCAUAACCCUUUGUUGUCCGACUCUGUUGCCUCCGGGGCGACCCUGCCUUCGGGCGGGGGCUCCGGGUGGACACUUCAAACUCUUGCGUAACUUUGCAGUCUGAGUAAACUUAAUUAAUAAAUUAAAACUUUUAACAACGGAUCUCUUGGUUCUGGCAUCGAUGAAGAACGCAGCGAAAUGCGAUAAGUAAUGUGAAUUGCAGAAUUCAGUGAAUCAUCGAAUCUUUGAACGCACAUUGCGCCCCCUGGUAUUCCGGGGGGCAUGCCUGUUCGAGCGUCAUUUCACCACUCAAGCCUCGCUUGGUAUUGGGCAACGCGGUCCGCCGCGUGCCUCAAAUCGUCCGGCUGGGUCUUCUGUCCCCUAAGCGUUGUGGAAACUAUUCGCUAAAGGGUGUUCGGGAGGCUACGCCGUAAAACAACCCCAUUUCUAAGGUUGACCUCGGAUCAGGUAGGGAUACCCGCUGAACUUAAGCAUAUCAAUAAGCGGAGGAA
Molecule: ribosomal RNA, 523 nt
Filed under: Cladosporium macrocarpum
Lineage: Eukaryota; Fungi; Ascomycota; Dothideomycetes; Cladosporiales; Cladosporiaceae
Description: eukaryotic LSU rRNA
Rfam family: 5.8S ribosomal RNA (bases 158-311)
Source: RNAcentral